This 382-nucleotide unclassified non-coding RNA is filed under the name uncultured bacterium. RNAcentral's name for it is "contains 16S-23S intergenic spacer region". The record is from RNAcentral.
UCCGGUUUGUCACCGGCAGUCUCUGCAGAGUCCUCGGCUCUACCCGUUAGCAACAGGACAUAAGGGUUGCGCUCGUUGCGGGACUUAACCCAACAUCUCACGACACGAGCUGACGACAGCCAUGCAGCACCUGUGUAAGCUCCCCUUGCGGGGUCGUCACCCUUUCGGGCUUCUACCACCUACAUGUCAAGGCCAGGUAAGGUUCUUCGCGUUGCAUCGAAUUAAGCCACAUACUCCACCGCUUGUGCAGGCCCCCGUCAAUUCCUUUGAGUUUCAGCCUUGCGGCCGUACUCCCCAGGCGGGGCACUUAAUGCGUUAGCGCCGGCACCCAGGGGGUCGCUCCCCCAGGCACCUAGUGCCCAUCGUUUACGGCGUGGACUAC